GUCUACGGCCAUACCACCCUGAACAGCACCCGAUCUCACCUGAUCUCGGAAGCUAUGCAGGGCUGGGCCUGGUUAGUACUUGGAUGGGAGACCACCUGGGAAUACUGGGUGCAGUAGGCU
Onychomys torridus (southern grasshopper mouse) is the source of this 120-nucleotide ribosomal RNA. NCBI's taxonomy places the organism in Eukaryota, Metazoa, Chordata, Mammalia, Rodentia, Cricetidae. The record is from RefSeq and is a predicted model, not a curated record.